CCAGACUCCUACGGGAGGCAGCAGUGAGGAAUAUUGGUCAAUGGGCGCAAGCCUGAACCAGCCAAGUCGCGUGAGGGAUGACGGUCCUAUGGAUUGUAAACCUCUUUUGUCGGGGAGCAAGGCCCGCCACGUGUGGCGGGAAGGAGAGUACCCGAAGAAAAAGCAUCGGCUAACUCCGUGCCAGCAGCCGCGGUAAUACGUAGGGAGCGAGCGUUGUCCGGAAUUACUGGGUGUAAAGGGAGCGUAGGCGGGCUUGUAAGUUGAAUGUCUAAUCCACCGGCUCAACCGGUGAUCGCGUUCAAAACUGCAGGUCUUGAGUGAAGUAGAGGCAGGCGGAAUUCCUAGUGUAGCGGUGAAAUGCGUAGAUAUUAGGAGGAACACCAGUGGCGAAGGCGGCCUGCUGGGCUUUAACUGACGCUGAGGCUCGAAAGCGUGGGGAGCAAACAGGAUUAGAUACCCCCGUA
This 464-nucleotide ribosomal RNA is filed under the name uncultured bacterium. RNAcentral's name for it is "bacterial SSU rRNA". It matches the Rfam family "Bacterial small subunit ribosomal RNA", at positions 331 to 792 of the family's 1533-position model. The record is from RNAcentral.